UAAAACGUAGGUGGCAAGCGUUAUCCGGAAUUACUGGGCGUAAAGCGUGUGCAGGCGGAACGAUAAGUGGUGUAUGAAAUUUCCCAGCUUAACUGGGAGGGGUUAUGCCAGACUGUCGUUCUAGAGGGUGAGAGAGGAGCGUGGAAUUCCGGGUGUAGUGGUGAAAUGCGUAGAGAUCCGGAGGAACCCCAGAGGCGAAGGCGGCGCUCUGGCUCACCCCUGACGCUCAGACACGACAGCAUGGGGAGCGAACGGGAUUAGAAACCCCGGUAGUCCAUGCCGUAAACGAUGCUCACUAGGCGCUGCGGGACUCAACCCCCGCGGUGUCGCAGCUAACGCGCUAAGUGAGCCGCCUGGGGAGUACGGCCGCAAGGCUA
Molecule: ribosomal RNA, 377 nt
Filed under: uncultured bacterium
Lineage: Bacteria
Description: bacterial SSU rRNA
Rfam family: Bacterial small subunit ribosomal RNA
Source: RNAcentral